RNAcentral lists this ribosomal RNA (207 nucleotides) under uncultured bacterium. Its description in RNAcentral is "partial 16S ribosomal RNA". It matches the Rfam family "Bacterial small subunit ribosomal RNA", at positions 568 to 774 of the family's 1533-position model. The record is from RNAcentral.
CGUGUAGGCGGAUUGCCAAGUCAUUUGUGAAAGCUCUCGGCUAAACUGGGAGAGGUCGAAUGAGACUGGUAGUCUGGAGAGCAGGAGAGGGGUGCGGAAUUCCGGGUGUAGUGGUGAAAUGCGUAGAUAUCCGGAGGAACACCAGUGGCGAAGGCGGCGCCCUGGCCUGCAACUGACGCUAAGACGCGAAAGCAUGGGGAGCGAACG